CCUGCGGAAGGAUCAUUACAGAGUUCAUGCCCGAAAGGGUAGACCUCCCACCCUUGUGUAUUAUUACUUUGUUGCUUUGGCGAGCUGCCUUCGGGCCUUGUAUGCUCGCCAGAGAAUACCAAAACUCUUUUUAUUAAUGUCGUCUGAGUACUAUAUAAUAGUUAAAACUUUCAACAACGGAUCUCUUGGUUCUGGCAUCGAUGAAGAACGCAGCGAAAUGCGAUAAGUAAUGUGAAUUGCAGAAUUCAGUGAAUCAUCGAAUCUUUGAACGCACAUUGCGCCCCUUGGUAUUCCGGGGGGCAUGCCUGUUCGAGCGUCAUUUCAACCCUCAAGCUUAGCUUGGUAUUGAGUCUAUGUCAGUAAUGGCAGGCUCUAAAAUCAGUGGCGGCGCCGCUGGGUCCUGAACGUAGUAAUAUCUCUCGUUACAGGUUCUCGGUGUGCUUCUGCCAAAACCCAAAUUUUUCUAUGGUUGACCUCGGAUCAGGUAGGGAUACCCGCUGAACUUAAGCAUAUCAAUAAGCGGAGGAAA
Molecule: ribosomal RNA, 529 nt
Filed under: Botrytis cinerea
Lineage: Eukaryota; Fungi; Ascomycota; Leotiomycetes; Helotiales; Sclerotiniaceae
Description: eukaryotic LSU rRNA
Rfam family: 5.8S ribosomal RNA (bases 166-319)
Source: RNAcentral